UCAUGAAUGGCUUGGUGUCCUCCCCGUGGUGAUGAGUGAGUACUUACUCUGUUAGUUCACAUGAGAGCUGGCUGUUUAAGGAAGGCUGGCUCCUCCUCCCUCCUUUGCUCUCUCUUGCACUCUCUCUCUCCCUGUCUCUGUCUCUCUGUCCCACUCUUACCAUGUGACACACCUGCUCCUCCUUCACCUUCCGCCAUGAUUGAAAGCUCCCUGAGCCUUCACCAGGAGCAGAUGCCAGCGCCAUGCUUCCUGGCGCCUACUAAACUGUGAGCCAAAUUAAACCUCUUUUCUGUAUAAAUUACCCAGCCUCAGGUAUUUCUUUAUAGCAACGCAAAAAUAGACUAACACAGAAAUGGGGCAUCACCUGAACUACAAGGCCCUCUGAGCUGGCUAUUGCUUCCUCCUCAGCAACAAGUCAGGCCACAAGGUUCCUAGUAACUGCCUGUAACCCGGCCUUUUUCCUCACCCUGGCCUUCCUUCUAUCAAGGUACCUGCAUUAACCGGGCUUCCUGCUUGGAAUGACAUCUCCACCCACAGAGCUCUGCCUCCAGUUAAUUCAUGCUCAGCCUCAGGCCUCAACUCCAUAUCCCUUCCUUGAGGAAGUCUCCCCUGACCCCUAUACCAGACCACAGGAACCUUAUGGGAUUGUUUACCCGGUAUCCCUGGCAACAAGCUGAUCCUGGCAGAUAGGGAGCGUGCAAAGCACAUUAGAUGAAUAAAUAAAUGAAAAUUAUUGAUUCUUCCAGCUCCACCAGGGGGCAGGGGCUGUAGCCUUCUUUCCCUGUCUGCUCCCUGGAUCUGCUCCCAUGGUGCUGGAGAAAGCAAGUGUAGCAUUGCUUGUUUAUUUAUGCUUCCAUUUGUUCAAUAGAUAUCUACUGAGAGCCCGCUAUGUGCCAUUUUGGAGUCAGUGGUGAACAUAGCAUCAAAAUCCUGCCCUCACAAGAUUACUUUAUUUUUUUUGAGAUGGAGUCUCACUCUGUCGCCCAGGCUGGAGUGCAGUGGUGCGAUCUCAGCUCACUGCAACCUCUGUCUCCCGGGUUCUAGCAAUUCUCCUGCAUCAGUCUCCUGAGUAGCUGUGACUACAGGCUUGUGCCACCAUGCCAGACUAAUUUUUUUGUAUUUUUAGUGGAGAUAGGGUUUCACCACAUUGGUCAGGCUGGUAUUGAAUUCCUGACCUCAAAUGAUCCACGUGCCUCAGCCUCCCAAAGUACUGGGAUUACAGGUGUUAGCCACCAUGACCGCCACAAGAUUACAUUCUAUACUGAAGGAGACAGACACUAAGCAAAUAAACAGGAAACUAUGCUGUAUGCUGGUGCUAGGGCCAGAACAAUUUAUGAGAGAAGUGGAGGUGGGGGAGCCAUACUAAAUAAAAUGGUUGGAAAAGGCCUUCUUGAUAAAAUAUAAUUGAGGAAAGACAAAGGAUAUAGCAAUAUGAUGAAAGGGCAUGUCAGAUAAAAUUCAGAUGUCCAGAUAAUUUUGAAUUUUAUUUUAUUUUAUUUAUUAUUAUUUAUUUAUUUUUUGAGACUGAGUCUCACUCUGUCACCCAGGCUGGAGUACAGUGGCAUGAUCUUGGCUCACUGCAACCUCUGCCUCCCGGGUUCAAGCGAUUCUCCUGCCUCAGCCUCCUGAGUAGCUGGGACCACAGGCAUGCGCCACCACACUGGGCUAAUUUUUGUAUUUUUUUAGUAGAGAAGGGGUUUCACCAUGUUGGUCAGGCUGGUCUUGAACUCCAGACCUCAGGUGAUCUGCCUGCCUCGCUCGGCGUCCCAAAGUGCUAGGGAUUACAGGCAUAAGCUACCAUGUCCAGCCAAAAUUUUUUCAAAUUCUAAUGUUUUUAAUUCACAAAUUGCAAUUCAUAUUGCCACGGAGGAAACAAAAUUGUAACUAAUGAAGAAUUCUAAGAGCUGUUUUUUGUUGUUGUUUUUUUUUGAGAUGGAGUCUCAGUCACCCAGUCUGGAGUGCAGUGGUGCGAUCUCGGCUCACUGCAACCUCCACCUCCUGGGUUCAAACAAUUCUCCUGUCUCAGCCUCCCGAGUAGCUGGGAUUACAGGCACCCAUCAUGAUGCCCGGCUAAUUUUUGUAUUUUUGUAGAGACACGGUUUCAACAUGUUGGCCAGGCUGGUCUUGAACUCCUGACCUUAGGUGAUCUGCCCGCCUCGGCCUCUCAAUGUGCUGGGAUUACAGGCAUGAGCCACUGUGCCAGGCCAAGAGCUGUUAAAAGUAGUACCUGAUCUUUGGCUUUUGGGGUACCAGGAAUUACUUUUUACUAUGAGAGAGAACUUGACUUUUGCGUGUGCAGUGGCUGACGAGUCACUGGCAAAACCUGGAAAGUGGCUGACAGGGUUGUAGUGAAUGAUUAUUAUUGCAAUGGGCUAUUUGUUCUUUACGCACUUAGAUUAAAAGGCAGGUUUGAACACCUGGAGGUUGUGGGAACAUUCACUACCAAUGGUUAAGACUCUGAUGGAAGAUGAGCUGAUCACAGAGUGGGCUGAUUUGCAUUGGGUUGCCCACUAGCCUCAGGGGAAUGUCUUUACAGAAAGGUGUGCUGUGGAAGCACUGUGUGGCCUGGUCUCAUGGGGUUCCUGUCUUUGGGAACCCAAGAUUAAAUGUAAAUGUGGGAUACUGGCAGGCACAAGUGGAAGCCAGCACAACUAAUGAUGCAGAAUUUUUUGUUCCUUGGUUCAGCUAAAUCCAGAAAAAUUAGGCACGCAGAAACAUUGAAAGGUGAGGAUGGUGCCAGGUGCGGUGGCUCACACUUGUAAUCUCA
RNAcentral lists this long non-coding RNA (2767 nucleotides) under Homo sapiens (human). Its description in RNAcentral is "HSALNT0039027". Lineage: Eukaryota; Metazoa; Chordata; Mammalia; Primates; Hominidae. The record is from RNAcentral.